Molecule: long non-coding RNA, 1274 nt
Organism: Oncorhynchus gorbuscha (pink salmon)
Lineage: Eukaryota; Metazoa; Chordata; Actinopteri; Salmoniformes; Salmonidae
Exons: 3
Source: RefSeq, a predicted model, not a curated record
CACUCUGGACCCGUGGGAAGUACAGACCAAUAUUACUCUGGAUUCUGAAAGUGGACUGUACAGCGUCUGGAGCCAAGUGAAUAUAACAGAACAUCAGACGGUGACCUGCCAUAUCUUCAACCCCGUUCUGAGAGAGACUGUGAGCAACACAACCAUCGUCAGCCCCAGCAUUAACACAGACCCUGCAGGUGUGGUUCAGGAAGACUUUACUCCCAUCAUUAUCACAAUAGUACUGAUCAUUCUAGUAUUGAUUCUGUUUUCCAUCGGGGGUUAUUUUGUGUACAAAAAACGUUGUGGAGCCAGCGGUGGAACCAUAAAAGUUGAAGGAAAUAACCAACAAAGAAAUGGUCAUGUUGAGACGGAGCUUUUGGACAGGUGUAGCCGGGAACCAGACAAUCUAGGGGCAGACUGAUGGGACAUUUCUUUAUAUACAGGUCCAUAAAUUGGACAUAUCGGUGUACUGUAUCCCAACGAAAUCUACCUCUUCUAAUUGGAAGUAUUUGCAUGUUUUUUCAAAUAUUUUCUUAUUAAUAGCCAGCUAUUAGAAAAGCGUUAGAACGUCUACAGUAGAAUAAUGAUAAAUAAUGUGUCUGGAAAUGUUCUACUGUAGAAGUUCUAAAUCAUGGGAGUAUUUAAAAAAUACAUUACAAUUUUAAAGUACUUCUUUAUUCAAAUAAAAAAAAUCCUAAUAUUUUCUCACAAAUGUUUUGGAAAGUACUUGAAAGGCCCUACAGUAAAUAGUUUACCGUGAAUGCAGGAACGAUGCAUUUAAUUUCCACUAAUGCGGAUCUUCAGUGGUCCAGAUUGAAUCCAGGCCUAAAACCAUGUAAACCUCAACACACUGGUACAGUUGUGAACUCUCAGACUGACUUAGGAGGAGACUCUGCUAAACAGACCUCACUGUGUUCAACAUUAGGGACAGCUGCUACAGAUCUGUAACCAGAUUUAGAUUACAUUUAGAUUUAGAUUACAUUUAGAUUUAGAUUACAUUUACAUUUAGAUUACAUUUACAUUUAGAUUACAUUUAAAUGUUGUCUUUAAUAAAUAUUGUUGUGAAUAUUCAAAAAGGUUAAUGUAUUAUAUUUAUUUAAAUGUCAAACUUUUUAUUCUGGUGUUUUCCUAUACUGUAGGUGUAUUGAAAUUUGGCCUUAUUUGGGGAAAUUGUCUUUGAAACUCGUUUGAAGAAAUAUCCUAAUUGUGGCCUAGAUGUGUCCUAGAUGUGGCCUAGAUGUGGCCUAGAUGUGUCCUAGAUGUGGCCUAGAUGUGUCCUAGAU